This is a long non-coding RNA of Equus asinus (donkey), 540 nucleotides long. The record is from Ensembl. NCBI's taxonomy places the organism in Eukaryota, Metazoa, Chordata, Mammalia, Perissodactyla, Equidae.
AUUUAACUGUAGAGUGGGCAUUCCCUCCCCACAGGUGUGCCUCCUGAGACAGUUUUGUGGUGGGCCUAGAACAAGGAUCCACAAACUUUUUAUUUAGAGGGCCAAAUAAUAAUGAAAAUCAAGACCAGAGAAGUGAAGUAAUUUCCCAAGGAUACACAGCAAUUUCUCAACAUUUUUCCCCCAACUGGACUAGCCCAUUACAAGACCUGAUAAGAAGAAUUCCGGUGAAUGAAGUUUCGGAAGCAUUUUUGUCGGUUGGGGCUUGGGGCCGUGCCGACAGAAACAUUCAAGUCAGCAGCUCUCUGUCAAACUGGAAGAUGUCUCCAGGUGUACAAUGUGUUUGGGUUGGGCGAUCCCAGUGUGUAAUCUGGAUAAGCUGUGGCCUCUCUGCCAGAUUCAAGCGUAAGUAGGCCUAAAGCCUCUACUCUAAGCAAUAAACUAGUCAGGCAACAAGUUCGCUUCUUGCAAUUCUCAAGCCCUAUUCAUAACCAGGUGAAUUGUCCUAUUACGGUAUAUCCUUGAAAAUGCUGCCUUUUCUUU